AAGCUGUUCUGUCGCCAUGUCUACCAAUGGCCUCGAGUUAAACGGGGCCAUUGACGGAGAUGCGGUGUGGAGCGCUCCGGUACUGCCGCUGGAGUCUCAGGAUUCCAUGAGCGCUGUGAAUGUGGUGGCGGUCGCCGCCGGCGAGCGACAGGCCGUGGGAAAGAAAGCCACAUAUGACGUUUGCUCCGAAGCGAAGGUUAGUCAGGGGGGCACCAUUGCAUAACAAUUUUUUCGUCGUCUAUUUGGCGAUUGUUUAGCACGAACCUUGAUUUGUUCUGCCAGACUAUGACUAUAUUGCUUGAUCCGGCGGUUAGUACGCCUUCGUUGGAUUGCUGUGCAGUAUAGAUGACGGUUGGUUUAGUUGUGAGAUAUUGAUAUGAGAAAGUAACAUGUAUUUGCUGUCUAAUUAGGGACAUGUGGUGGAAGACUUGUGCAAGCUUAAGUUGGAUCUGUUUUGUUCGGGGAA
Non-coding RNA from Aegilops tauschii subsp. strangulata, 466 nucleotides. NCBI's taxonomy places the organism in Eukaryota, Viridiplantae, Streptophyta, Magnoliopsida, Poales, Poaceae. The record is from RefSeq and is a predicted model, not a curated record.